CGUUUGUCCGCGCGUCGCUCAUCGCUCUGCAUCGACUGCUUCUCGACUUUUCCCUCCGUUUCACUUCUCUAACAAUUCCCUGCGUCCGACCUCGAUUCCUUUUGCUCUCCAAAGCUGCCUUCUCUCCCUCUCCGACCUUACGAUCUUCGUCUGACAUAUUACCAACCGCACUUUCUUUCUGAAAAACCACCCAACCUGUAGAAAUUUCUUCGAUUCUUCAGUUGGAUUCGGAGAAUUUUUUUACCCAGAAAAGCUAGCGUUUCCUGGUUGGGACAAUUUUUUUGUGAAAUUGAUGACUAAUCGCAUGCUGCUCAGAUUAUUGACAAAGAAAUUAUAUUGAACAUGGAGAAGAUAAUCAUUGCAGCAAACUCAAUCUAACGAUCCUUUUCCUGCUACUAAAAGCGUUCUCUUAACCUUCAACUUAAGCUUUGAGAUACAAUGUUGUUCUAGGCUGUCAUCCAGAUUCCCAACCACAUGUUUCCACGGCGGUUUCCAAGAGGUCCUUGAGACGAUCAGAUGCUAUACUGAGCAGCCACCAUUAUAAUAAGGUAGUGAUGUAAUCAUAAGAAAAAGUCGAGUUCUUUAGUUCAUUGCAAGUUGACCCAUCGCCAUUCAUUGCAAGUCGACCCAUAGUCAGCAGAAUGUGCUUUAAAGAAAAAACAGUUCAUAGAGUAAGAGAAACAGCCAAGUGCUACUGUGUAAGAUUCUAGGACUGCUGAAUUGGAAUACUCAGAGAAACAAUAUGCAUAGGGAUCACUAAUAAUGUUUUUUUGGUGUAUGUAUCUCAUAUGUUGAAGGCACCCUAACAUUGAAAACAACACUUCUUUUUGUACAAACUUUGCUUUCUGCUCCUCACGGAUGAUCCUCAAGAUGUUUUGGUGGCAAAACAGGUUAAACUCGCUUUUUUACUUUAACCAAAUAUGUGUGUGGAUUGAUGGUGGACUAUGUUUAGUGAAUGUGUAUUUGAGCUCUGUAGAUGAUUGCAUGUUGUGUUGACUUCAGAUUUUUGUUAUCAAUCACUCUUUCAAGUGCUUAUUUGAAUCAUUUAAUCCCAAAUUCAAAAACCAGAAACUGCCUGAUAAUCUCAGUAAGUUCUUAUUUUCUAUGAUCUUUAAGAUUGUGCCUUUUAGAUGCUUAACCUCUAAAUUGUUUAUGGUGUUGAGUUUCUGCGUUUAAUUUGUUUUUGUUGCCUUUCGCAUAUGAUGAUGAAAUGGUCCAUCUUUGAUUAUGCCUAAUUUUGGUUUUAAACUCAAAAUUUUCUGGAAUUGACAUGGGCUUACUGAAAUUUUUUUAUAAAAAAAAAACCAUUAUGCAUUUAAAUGCAGAGAUUGUUGGGUCAAAAAUAAGAAAAUGGAGAGAGUAGCACAACACUAUGCGAAAUUGGCUUUGGGUUUCAUUUGGCGGUUUGUUUUGCACGUGUCAAUUUUUCAAAGUAAAGGACGUAUGCAACACCUCCCACGAUUUUAGAACACUUGAAGGUUGAAGGUGAGACCUAAGAAAUAAAAUAGCGGUUUGAAAAGUUGUCAUGGCAUGUUAAUUCCCUUUUUUGUGAACUGAUUUUACAGCGUAUUUACCUAUUUAUUUUUUCAUAUUUUGUUUACAUUUGAUUUAUGAUAGAUUACACAUACUUAACGUGUUUGCAUAAAUUUAAUGCCUUAAGCUUACACCUUAACAAAUACCUAUGAAAUCUGCAGUAUUAUCUAAUUGAAUUGGUCAGUUUUGAUUUGCAUUUUGUUAAUUUGUAUAUUUGUAAUAGUCGACUGUUGAAAUUUUAGUGUAUCACUUUUUGUCAACACUCUG
Long non-coding RNA from Pyrus x bretschneideri (Chinese white pear), 1800 nucleotides. RefSeq lists it as uncharacterized. The record is from RefSeq and is a predicted model, not a curated record. The transcript is spliced from 7 exons. Lineage: Eukaryota; Viridiplantae; Streptophyta; Magnoliopsida; Rosales; Rosaceae.